AAGAUCAAACAUACGUAGCCAAGGUAAAUAAUCUGCAACAUUGAAAGUUCCUACCAAGUCCAAUAGUUCACGAACAAGGUUCUUUACAUCAAAUCUAUCGUCCUUACUGCAACCAAAGAUCAUUUUAAAUGUGACAUUCUCGAUGAUAUUCCCUGCAGUAUCACUAAGAUCUAUAACCUCACGCGAUGAUGCUAUUUUCUGGAGAAACCUAACAAACUCUGCCAACUGCUCAUUUCUCAAAGGAGAAAACAUCUCAACUUUUGAUGCAAUCAGAAGUUGUACUGUGCACAGUUUCCUCAUGAUGCGCCAGUAGGGACCAUUCUCAGAGAAUAUUAAGCCCUUGCCACCAUAGGAAAUAGAGUUGGAUGAGAUGCUUUUAGACCUAAAAGCAAAAGUAAUGUCAUGGGUCUUGAGGAAUAGUUCGGCUAUUUCAGGUGAGGAUAUCACAAUGGUUGGAACUUGUCCUAGCUUUAAGGACAUUAUAGGUCCAUAAAAUGCUGCAAGGGAUUGAAGGGUGUGGUGUGGUAGUUUCCCUAGCAUGUGGAGAUGACCAAUAAUUGGUAGGGUGUUGGGACCUGGUGGAUGUUUUCCAUGAUCUUGGCCUUGUUUUGGUUUUAACACAACAAUUGAUAAGAUAAAUAUGAAUAUCACAAAGAGUAUUGUAGGAAUAGUUAAUGCUUGAGGUAACAUUUCUAAUUUUUCUUUAUUAAAAAUGGAGAAUGUUUGGAGUAUUCCUUAUAUGAUCUUAAGGUAAUCAAGGCUUUGUCAAGUCAUGGACAUAAUUUCCUGCUACAAAAGAGAUAUGGGUGAUUGCAGAGUGAAUGAUGGCUUGGAACGUUAAAAUAGAAUAGAAAGCAAAUUUAUACUUCAUGCAAUCAAUAAAUCAUACUUGUUAAACGAAAAUUCGAUGAUUCAGGUCUUGAAUUGAUUCACGUUUUGUAGAAUUUAUGCAACAACCCAUACAACCAAAUUAUAAACAUAUAUAUUUUACAUUAUAAACAUAUAGAAAGAUAAGUUAUUGAAAUUAUGAUAAAUGUACAAUUCAAGCAUAUAUUAAUGCAGCAUUAUUUUUUGAAACUCUAUCUAAUCCAUUUCAAAACUUUAGAUCAACAUGUACACCUAAGUUCAAAUGGAUGCAAAAUAAAGAAUAACAAACUGAAGUCUAGGAAAACUUGUUUAAGUAUGUACUAGAAAGACUAACAUAUGACUCGUACCAAACAUUUUUUUAUCUACACUCAAGUCUCAACUUCAAAAGUUAAAGUAAGUUUAUUGUAUAAAUCACCUUAUGCUUACAAAUGUGUCUCAUACAAAAACUUUUCUUCAAUUUUUUACUACUUAAUAUCUUAAUUUACAUAAUUUGACUUUAUCAGUGAAACAAAUGUAUCUCUUUUCUUUUCAAACAUAAAUUUGUUUACUUAUUAUUACAAAAUCAAUAUAUCAUCUCACCUAUGUGGUCUCAAAUCAUCCAAUCUAAUCAUAACAUGUAUCAAUUUAAUGUAUUUUCAUAUAAUUAUUUAAAUGCAAGCUUAAAUAGACUAAAUAUUACAAAAAUAAAAACACAUAUAUAUAUAUAUAAUGUCACACAAAUCAAUUUGAACUUAAAUAUACUUUUUACUCUAUUCACACAUGAUUGAGCAAGUUAUUUUUAAUUGUAUCUUACUGUAAGACAUCAUUAUUCUCUGAGUCUGAUUAGCAAGUACAUGAAAAACCCUAUUAAGUUACCUUUGUUGAAAGAUUUUUUUUUCUAUUUUCAAGAAACUCGUAAUUUUGGGGUAUUUUACAAAAAAAAAGACAAAAAUAUUCAUUUGAUUGGAUUUAUCGACAAUUUUGCAGGUGAUCUAGAUGAUAAACAAACACGUAUCAUUAUUAUUUCAUGAUCUUCUAAGGAUGCUUAUUGUUUUGUAAUGUGCAUAUUUUAAAAGGUUAUACCAAAUAUAGAAAUCAAAUGUAGAAAGAGAAAAUUUGCUAAAGAGAUUAAAUAUCUCAACCCAAACAUGAAAACACCUUUCUUUCCAUAAAAAAUUAAAUAGCUUGACAAAUGACAGAUUAAAAUCAAUAUCACAUGGGUUGGGGCCAGAUUCUUGUGCUGCCAGCCAAAAAGUGAUCCUACACAAACAUUUUUAUUUUAAAAUAACACUAAAAAAAAUUAUUAAAUAAAAAUUAAUUUUAUAAAUUAAAAAUAAUUAGUUAUUAUAUUAAAUAAAUUAGAUAAUAAUUUUAAAAUUAAAAAAUUAUUAUUUUUUAAAUUAAUUUCUAUUAUUAAUAAAUAAUUUUUAAAUUGAUAUCUAAUUAGUUAUCAAGUUUUAAUUAUUAAUUUUAAAUUUAAUAAAAAAAACUUUGAUACUAAUUUAAAAAUAAUUUAUAAAUAAUAAAAAUUAAUUUAAAAAUUAAUAACUUUUUUAAUUUCUAAAAUAAUAUCUAAUAAACAGUAAAUAUAAUAACUAAUUAUUUUUUUUUGUUUUUAUUUAAACAUACUAACUUUCUGAAACUCUUGAUAUAAUUACUAACAAUUUUAAGUUAAAACUAUUAUUACUAUAAUCUCUAACAGAAUUAAAAAGAUUAAGAGAUCUUAUAAUUUUAACUAUCUUAGUAAUUAAUGUGUACACCUAAAAAAUCUGUAGAAAAUGGGAUAAAAGAUUAGGGCAGUUACUUACUUAGUGGGAUUUGGUAGCUGCAGAAUAAACUAUAAUUUUCUUUUAUACUAUUGUUGAAGAAUAGAUACAAAAUGAAUAUUCUGGUCAUAUUUUUUUGAUAGAUUUAUAAAUUCACAUGUCUGCAACUUGCUUUUUCUUUAUCUGGUGUAGGUAGAACUGUUCAUAAGAAAAACUGGUUCUGAAAUAGAGUAUGAAUAAACAACACAGUUUUUGAAGUUACAGUGAUUCAAGAAAUCAGGUGUAAAAUUAAGACUUUAGAGUCUCCCAUAUUCCAUAAACACAUUGAACAAGACAACAUAACAAACUUUUGAGACAACAACAGCAAUACUCAAAAGAUGAAAAUAAAAAUAGAAUGAGAGAGAGGUACCUUAGUUUGUGAUGGUGUGGAUCCAAUGAAGAGAAAUGAGUUGUGUUGGAAACUUCUGCAGAGAGAAUGCAGAUAAAGAAGAUCUGAGGAAAAGAAAAGUUAGAAGAUGAAACAAGUAAAGCAGAAGUACAUUAAUGUGUGGUUGAAUGAAAGAAAGAAAGAAGUACUUGUUUGGUGUGCAUGAAAGUGAAGUGAUUUUGGAAUUUAGUUUUUAUGGAUAAAUGGAAAGAUUGACUUUGUACUUCAUAUCUCCCUUAAUGCUUCUUUAUCUUUCUAAUGUCUUAUACAAAGAGACCAACUUCUAUGCCAACAAUUAUACUUUGGAUAUUUGUGUAUUUGGAUUCUGUCUACAAAUAUGAGGACAAGUAUCUUUAGAUCACAAACUCCAUACUCAUUUAAAAGUUGUGCUAUUAAUGAUGAUUUCUAAAUUGUUUCAUGAUAUUUCAGUUGGUUGUGUGAUGUUAACUGUGUUGUAUUUAAAUUUGUAAAACAACGAUUUCUUAUAUAUUAUAUAAAAUUUUAAAUUUAGAUAUGAUUUAAUUUCGGUAUCAUUUUAGUUAUAAUCAAAUAAUAUUCAUUCAUUUUUGUAUUAUAUAUAUUUAUUUAUUUAUUUAUUUAGAGAUAUAGUUUAAAUAUUAUCUUAAAUAAAAGAUAUUAUAUGAUUUGAUAGAAAUAUAUUUUAUCAAACAUUAUUUAUUAUUAAAUAUAAUUCUUUUCUUAUUGUUAGAUAUUUUCUUCAUUAUAAAUAAGAAUGAAAAGAAUGUUGCCGACAGUUUAAUAUGCAGUGAAUGCUCUUCUUAACAAGACUCCAAUUGUUUUGGUGCAAGCAAUAUUAACACACACAAAAUUUUAAAAAUAAAAAAUUUUUAAAAAUAUAUAUAAAAUGGACCUCGCCACUUAUUAAAUAUUUAUACUCAAUUCACUAUCUAUUCUUGAAAGAUUAAGUACUUUCACUCCGAUUCCUCUUUGAUUGUUAAAAAAACUCUCAAUGAAUUCAUUAAGAAUUUUACAUUCACUUGUAACCAAUCUAAACUCAACUCAAGAGGUUAAGAAAAUAAAAUUCUUAAAAAAAUUUAAAAAGUUUAAAGACAAAUUAGAAAAGCAAAAUAAAAGAAUAGGUUAAAUCAAAGAAAGUAAAAAUGUGACAAGAAUGUAAAUAUGACAAAGAGAAAAACACUUUUGAAAGACAAGAUAAUCUAAAUAAUAUAUUUAGAAUUACCACUAGAAAUAUAAAACAAAGUAAAUAAGCUAACAAUUAAUCUUCAAUAAACAAUAAUUUUCUGAUAAUUUAAUUCAAGACUAAAUCUCAUAACUAAAAUAAAAAAUAGAACAAAGUGAAUGAGAGAAAUCUUACACGAUCCUCUGAAAUCUUGUGUGAGUUUUGCAGCCACAUAUUUGAAUUCCAAAAAUCAAAGGCAUGUUUCUGUCUCUACUUCACGUGGUGUCAGAAUUCAAAGUCUAUUUCAAUUGUACGAAUUUUAAAAUGCAAAUUAACAUCCAUUUUAAUUUUUUUGAAUUUUUUAUUAAUAAUAUAAAUUAUUUAUAUAUAUAUAUAUUUUAAUAUAUUUUAGUUUAAUUUUUUAAUAAUAUUUUUUUAUGUGAUAGUAGUCAUGUUCAUAGAAAUACCGGUAAUACCCAAGAUCAGAGUUUUUAUAAAAAAAAUUAGCAUUGCAAUUGAAUUCAACUAUUUAUUUCUUAAAACGGUGUAAUUACAUUUGUUAUUUCUUAAAAUAAAAAAAAAUUUAAAAUUGCAAACAUACUAAAAAUUAAGAUUUAAGUGGAAAUUGAUAUAAUUCAAGUUAUAUAUAUAAGAAGACUUCAGUUUAAUAUAAAAUAAAGAUAAAAUCAUAUAUAACAACUUACCCAAUUUUAGAAUAAUUUUUCUUCACAAUUAAGAAAAUAUGAAAUAAAAUUACGCCAUUUUGCAAUAAAAACCUAAUUCAAAACUUGGUUCCCUUAUCAAAAUUUCUCAAAUGUAAGGAUGUGCAUUUUCCUUCCUCCAAUUUCAACUAAAUUUGCUUUUUGCACCAACAAAACUCAUGCUCACCAAUUGGUUCAAAGGAAUUCUGUUUAUGCACUGAAUCCUAAAUUUUGAAUUAAACAACAAUUUUUUCAAAUUAAUUGCAUAAACAAUCAAAUAAUUUCAAAUUAAUUUUUAUUUGCAUAAUAAUAUCUAACAUAAAUAUUUUUAUAAAAAGAAAAACUAAUUUCAAUCAUUCCAGUUCAAUAAACAAAAAUUUAUUAAAACAAAAUACAAUAAGUACAGCUGAAAAAGCUCAAAGCUCAAUAAUAAUUAAAGAGUUUGUUAUUUAUUUUAUUCAUGUAUUUCACAUAUAGAAAAAUAUAAAAAAUAUUAAGUAUUAACAAUAUCUUAAUUUUAUUUUUUAAAUCUAUAUAAUAAAUAAAUAUAUUUUUAUCUUUUAUGUAAAAGAUAUUUAAAAAAUUAUAAUUUUUUAAAAUGAAGAGUGUUGUGUGAUAGUGAAAUAUGUUAUCAGUCUUUUCACUCAGAUCCCUGUUUGAAUCAAAGGCAUCUUUCUCUCUAUCUAUGCUUCACCACGUGGUGUCAGAAUUUCAAAGUCAAUUUCAAUUGCACUAAUUUCACAAUGCAAAUUCUCUUUAAUUAAUUAUUACACCCAAAGCAUUCCAACUGAAUUCAACCUUUUUUUUAUCAAAAACGAUAUAAUUUCAUUUGAUAUUUUUUAAAAUGAAAAAAAAUCUAAAAUUAAGUUGUACAUACUUCCAUUUAAAUGAAAUUUUAUAUAAUUAGAUAAUAAGUAUGAUUUCAAUUUAAUAUAAAAUAAAAAUAAAGUUGUAUAGAUUAAGUAAUAUGAUUCAAUUUAAUAACCUUUUUCUUAUUUUCAUUCACUUUUAACUUUUUUUUCUUAAUUCAAAUAACUUAAUUUUUAUAUUUAGUUUAUCUCAUCAUUUCUUUAAUCUUUUCACAUGUGAAUGUUUUUUUUAUCAGCAAUAAAAAUUUAAUAACUAGAAUCACUUUAGGGAUGGUUCAACCCUUAUACAUACUUAUAAAAUAUAGUACAUCUUCUCAGACACCCAACUAACACGGGACAAAAAUCAAAACUAAUAUAACACUACAAACCCAGUAGAAACAUACUCCAAACUUAUCAAGGAACAUCAAAACAACAAACCUUAACCACCUAUAUCAACAACCAACCCACCAUCCCACAAAACCACCAUCCAACAAAAUAAAGAUACCUACCAACCUAAAUAAAAACAGACAACUUAUAUAGAAUUCAAACAAGAUAAAGGGGCAAGACAUCAAUCAGAGAAAGAGAAGCAAGCAGAGGAGAUUUUAGAAGUUAUCGAAGACCAAGCUUUCAAUUGAGUCAAAAUGAAAAUUCAUAAUGAUCACCACACCACCUUUAAAUAUGACAUUGUUCUUAUGACUCCAAAUCUCUCUAACCAUCGAGAUCCACACACUUUGCAGAACAGAGUUGAAAGGCUUAGGUGCAUUACAAAACUGCAUGAAAUGAGCAAUAGGAUCAAUGGGAGCAACCGACGACACUCCUAACCAUGAGAAACAUUGAACCCAAAUAAGUCAAACAAUUCUACAGUCAAAAAGUAAAUGACUAAACAAAAAACAAUACCAUCAACCACCACACCGCGUUGUGUCAAAUUAACUUUAGUAGCAAUCUUGUUUUCCAGCACCAUCCAUGUCAAAACCUGGGUCGUAGGCAAAGCCUUAAUGCUCCAAAAAAAAGUUGUACAAACUCGACAAUACCCCAUCGCUUUUACAUGUGAAAGUGAAUUUUAGUAUUUAUUCAAUUAUGUGUUGAGAAGAUAGAAGAAGUGAUGAAGAUGAUUUAUUAGAUAUGAAUGCAUUGUACCUACCAUUUGAAAUGAUUCAUAAACAUGACUCCAUGUUGAAUUAUGAGAUUAACCACAUUUUUACAAGUUUAGCUAAAAUAAUUGGAUUGUUAUAUUUAGGAGGAUAUUUUUCUUGUGUUUAUUAAGUGAGUAUAUGAACCUACAUACAUUUUAUAAGUAUAAAUAUUUAUAGGUAAUGUAGAUAUUUGUUACAAUAUAUAAAAUUUGAAAUUAAAAUAAAAUAAAAUGAAAUUAGAAAUGUAUUACCAAAUUAAUCUCUCAAAUGUCUAAAAUUAUAAAAAACAACAGUGGCUUAAAAAUCUGCAUUACUUGGCGUUGAUUAAAGUUUUAAUUAAGAAUAACUCAAUUCCACAAUUUUAUCAUUACCAAAGACUAAACAGAGAAGAAUAAAAAAAAAGUUUGGACACUGUGAUGAAAACAAUAACUAAAGUUCACUGGGGUUCUAUGGAAGAGUCUUCUGAGUGAAAAACCAAGCUGAGCAUUAGAUGGGUAGGAGUGAAGGGGAGGAUCAGUGUUGUUGUAUUCAUUGAUGUUUGUUUGGUGUUGGUGGGAUUGUUGAAGAAGUAGUGAGGGUUGAGGAGAAGAAGGGUCAGAGAAAGUAAAAGCAGUGAUGGUUUUGCCCAAAGAAGGGUUAUCUGGUGGUGGGAGGGAGAUUAUAACAACACCUUUUAUCUGAGGAAAUUGAUCGUCAUCCAUAUAUGUAGCAGAAUAUAAGGUGAAUGAGUAAAAUUCUCAGCAAUAAGACUCAUUCAUUUAGAAUGGAGUGGCUAAGACUAGUUUACUAUACAACAUUUUAAAUCAUGUCCACAAGUUUUGUAACUUAAGAGUGUUAUAUAAUAUCAAUGUAUUUUGUGAUAAUCAAAGAGGUCUAAAAAUAACAUUUAUUAUAAAAGAACAAAACACAAAAGUAUUAGAUUAUGUUAUAUUAAAGACAUUAUCUUAAAGGAAAUUGUACACAUUAGGAAGAAUCGUAUUUAAGAAAAUUAAACAAAUUUUAUCACUAAAAUGAUUUUCUCAAUCAAUUUUAAACGUUCUCUAAAUUUAUUGAAGAUGAUUAAGCAAAACUUAGUAUAGUUAAGGACUAAGACUUAAUUAUGUCAAUGUAUUAUUUCUUUGCUAGAUAUUUAAUUAUGUUUUUUUGAAUGAUUACGUUUUUCUUUUAGAAAAGGGAACUGUGUAAUUCUAUUUAUAUUAUAAAGCAAUAUAAAGGAGGAUAAGUAAGUAAAAAUGUAUUUUUCAGACUUAUUAAGAAUUACUAAAUGCAAGUACGAAGUUCUAUAGAACUAUUUAAGGUGUAGUUGAGGUAAAGAAAAAUUAUGUGAAAACUUAGAAUGUUGAAUUUUCAAUUUUUAUUUUUGACACUGAUUAAUUUGGUCAUAUAUCAAUAAUUAUAUCUAAUUUAUAUUCAUCUCCUUCACGACCAUAGUCAAAUAUCUUAGUUUUGGUAAAUCAAGCUCCUCCACCAUCUUGUUCAUUCCAACCACAUGUUUUAGCUCCUCUUCAACACUUUCCAUCACUCUUAGAUGUCACACAAGUUCUGAAAUGGUCCAUUCAAUCACGUUGCUAUGUCAAACACAAUACCCUUUAUGUUUGUUUUAUCAAUUAUAGUGCAUCUUCAACAUGUGGAUGUAUUGGUUGGUUUUUCAACCAAAGUAGUGUGUUAAUGAAAUCAUUAAGGUGGUGUGUAGGACGUAGAUUAAUGAGACUAGGGGGAGCUAGGAGAAUGAGUUGUGUUAGAGGAAACAUAGUUUCUUUAGUUUAUUCUUUGUGUGUGAAGCUUUGGAGAUGGCAAAAAGAAUUGAUUGUAACCUGUAUUUAUAUCUUUCUCUUGCAUGAAUGAAUUCAUGUUGGGUGAUAAAAGACAAAUGUGAUUUUUAAUAAAUUUUCACCUAAAGAAAUUUGAGUUUGAGUUUUUGAAUAAAACAACGUUAAGUAACAUUAUUAGCAUUUUUCAAAUCAAUCUUUCAAACUCUGACGAAGUAUACAUGUAUUGUUUAAGUGAUAAGAAUGUGUAUAUGUAACGCUUGAAAAAUAGUAAAGAAGAUUAACGUCUCUUUACGAUUUGGGACGAUUCUACUUUAGAUACCUCUAAUUGUUUUUGUUGAUGAUUAUAGAUUUUUACUCAUGAAAUCAGAUAAUGGAUUUUGUGAUGAUUGAAGAAAAAUCCUGAAGGAUUCAUUCAAAUCUAUUUGACCACCAAAGUAAGCAUUGAUAACUAAAAUUAGCAAUGAUCGGGUCGUUGUUUUGUGUAUGAUUAAAAAAUUUGCAGGAUAAAGAUAUCAAAACAUAUCCCUAGAAAAUGACAAUCAUUGAACAUGAAAAAAAUGUUUUCAGUUGCUUUUUUGUUGUCAAAAUUAAGAAUUUCUUUAUUGUUUUGGUGGAGAAAAUGUUUUAGAUUAAGAGAAAGUUCAUUACCUUAUAAGAUAAAUCUGAAUGCAAACCCAUAACUAGAAGAUUCGACCGAAUGUGUUGACUCUCAUGGUUAAAUUAAGAAUUACAUCCACUAUCUUUGAUGAUAAGAAUUAAUGAAUUACGUGUUUUAAAAAAAUCUUCAAUAACAUCAAUUGAAUCUCAUCCUUCAUUUUCGAUCGAAUCCAUUUUCUGCAUUAUGUUAUUUCUUUUCCAUGUUUUGUUUUGCAAUGUUGAUUUUCUAGUCCAAUUUCGAAUAUUAGAAUAUUGAAUGUUUCGUGCACCUAUAGCCAAAAUCUUGCUUUUGUUUUGCUCGGGCUAAUAAUUAAGCAAUCCUAUCUUUAUAGUAAUAUUAAGAAGAUAAGGUAGUUGCGUGGGGAACUAUUUUGUCUUUUGUUUUUGUUAUUGAACCAUAUUGUGUAUCUUUCAAGCUAGUGCAGGAAUAUUAUAAAAUAUUGUAAAAGAAGUACAAAAAUAGUAGAAGUACUUUUCAUGUUGUCUUUUUGUAUUAUACAAUUAACACCACAACAAUCAGAGCAUUGGGUUUUAUGGGUAAUGAUACGUUGACUACUCAUAUUUUUUAUACAAUCACAUUACAACUCUCAAUACUAUUAUUUUAAUACUUUUUCAUAUCAUUUAAUUCCAAACUUACUCUUUAUUUAUAUAUUUCUUUCUAAAUCUAUCACAUCAAGAGUUGUAUAUAACUCUAAGGAUCGUCAAAGUAUCAUUUUCCGGGUUUAAUCCAUUCCAACUUCACCUGUUAGGCGAUAAGUUGGCACAGCUAGCAAAUGCUUACUUCUUGGCAUUGUGAGACCAAAUUUCUCAGUCAUGUCCAACUCAUCAGGGGACAUGCCUGAUGGAAGUUCCCAGUUGAAGCAAUGAACCAAUUGAGAAAGAACAAUCUUAACAGUGGUUAGACCCAAAUGAAUCCCAGGACACCCUCUACGACCAGAACCAAAUGGUAUGAGUCUAAAGUCAAAUCCUUUGAUGUCCACAUUGUUGUUGGUAAAUCUUUCAGGAUAAAACAUUUCAGCAUUAUCUGACCAAACUUUAGGAUCUCUCCCCACAGCCCAUGCAUUCACUAUCACCCUUGAAUUUUUCUUUAUGAAAUAACCAUCUAUAGUAACAUCUUCUCUACACUCACGAGGUACUAGCAAAGGUACAACAGGGUACAAUCUUAGUGUCUCCUUCACCACUAAGUCCAAAUAAAGCAAUUUUUCCAUAUCAGUCUCCUCCACCUUUCUUUUCAUUCCCACUACACUUUCCAACUCAUCUUGAAGUUUCUUCAUCACCCUUGGAUGCUUUAAGAGUUCAGACAUGGCCCACUCAACCGAUGUGGAAGAUGUGUCAAUUCCUGCAAUAAUCAUAGUCAUCACGACAGCCUUGAUAUGCGUUCUUUCAACCACAGGACCAUGUUCAUCGUGAGGAUCCAGGGGUUGAUGCAUAAGUGCAAGGAAUAUGUCCACAAAGUCCUUUUGGCCUUUUUCUUCUUUAUCAGAAUAUUGUUCAUGGUCUCUGAUAAUCUGCUCCAGGACUACGUCAAAUGAUUUGCUCACUUUCUUUAAUCGUCUUACUAGUCCCUAAUAUAACAAUGAUUGAAUUAAUAUCUCAUUGUUUAAGGAUAAAAUCAUAAGUCAUAAAUAAAUAAGUGAAUAAUGAAAUGAAAGUUACAUCAGAAAAUUAAAUCAAAUUGUUAGUUUUGACGAACUUCCUAGUAUGAAUAUUUAUUCAACACAUAUUUUGUCAUUCAAAACAAUCUUCUUUAGGACAUUACUACUUAAGGGAUUAAUCUCUUUUAACCAAUGUUUUUUCAUAUUCAUAGAUGAUAGACCUCAAGAUAAAAUUUCUUACCUCAUGAUUAAAGAACAAGGUUAUAUGUCAAUUAUGUUACACUGUGAUGGUAGAAAAAGCUUGAAUUGUUUAAUUCUAAGGACAACAUAAUUUAACCAUCUAAAUAACAAUAAAAUCUAAACUAUGAAAGAUCAUUAACAAAAUAUGCAACACAACUACAUGUUCAGAAUCAAAAGUAAUAUGAUACGGGAUAUGCCAAGUGUUUACAAUAUCUAGUAGCAUUUCAUACCUGAAGAUCAAACAUACGUAGCCAAGGUAAAUAAUCUGCAACAUUGAAAGUUCCUGCCAAGUCCAAUACUUCACGAACAAGGUUCUUUACAUCAAAUCUAUCGUCCUUACUGCAAUCAAAGAUCAUUUUAAAGGUGACAUUCUCGAUGAUAUUGCCUGCAGUAUCACUAAGAUCUAUAACCUCACGCGAUGAUGCUGUUUUCUGGAGAAACCUGACACACUCUGCCAACUGCUCACUUCUCAA
RNAcentral lists this long non-coding RNA (11599 nucleotides) under Phaseolus vulgaris (common bean). RNAcentral describes it as "long non-coding RNA (PVUL_LNC003699)". The record is from RNAcentral. Lineage: Eukaryota; Viridiplantae; Streptophyta; Magnoliopsida; Fabales; Fabaceae.